GACGAACGCUGGCGGCGUGCUUAACACAUGCAAGUCGAACGGAAAGGCCCUGCUUUUGUGGGGUGCUCGAGUGGCUAACGGGUGAGUAACACGUGAGUAACCUGCCCUUGACUUUGGGAUAACUUCAGGAAACUUGGGCUAAUACCGGAUAGUAGCUCCUGCUGCAUGGUGGGGGUUGGAAAGUUUCGGCGGUUGGGGUUGGACUCGCGGCUUAUCAGCUUGUUGGUGGGGUAGUGGCUUACCAAGGCUUUGACGGGUAGCCGGCCUGAGAGGGUGACCGGCGACAUUGGGAAUGAGAUACGGCCAAGAAGCCUACGGGAGGAAGCAGUGGGGAAUAUUGCACAAUGGGCGGAAGCCUGAUGCAGCAACGACGCGUGCGGGAUGACGGACUUCGGGUUGUAAACCGCUUUCGCCUGGGACGAAGCGUGAGUGACGGUAAUGGGUAAAGAAGCACCGGCUAACCACGUG
This 468-nucleotide ribosomal RNA is filed under the name uncultured bacterium. RNAcentral's name for it is "partial 16S ribosomal RNA". It matches the Rfam family "Bacterial small subunit ribosomal RNA", at positions 28 to 507 of the family's 1533-position model. The record is from RNAcentral.